GCGGUUAUACGUUAUUUAUGAAUAAUUUAUUUUAGAAAAUGCAUAAUUUUAUAUAAAUAUUUAUAUGCAAUAAAGGGGUGAAAUCUUUUAAAUGUAAUAUUAUUUAUUCUUAAAAUCAUACUAUUAAGAAAGAAACUAGGAUUAGAUACCCUAUUAUUCUUAAGAAUUUUUUAAAAAUCUAAAGUAGUAAAAAUUGAAACUUAAAAAUUUUGGCAGUAUUCAAUUUUUUAGAGAAAUAUGUAAUUUAAUCGAAAAUACACGAAAAUCUUACUUAUUUUAUUUUUGUAUAUCUCCGUUGACAGAUUUUUAUAAAAAAUAAAAUAAUUUUCUAUAAAUAAGAUAUAUGACAUCAGGUCAAGGUGCAGAAUAAAUAAGUUAUUAUGUAUUACAUUCAAAUUUAAUUGAGAUGAAUAGAUAAUUGGAAAUAUUAUUUUGAAAAUGAAUUUAUAAGUAAAAUAAAAGAAUAAUUUUAUUUGAAAUAUUAUUGAAUAUG
Molecule: ribosomal RNA, 493 nt
Filed under: Kumbadjena occidentalis
Lineage: Eukaryota; Metazoa; Onychophora; Udeonychophora; Euonychophora; Peripatopsidae
Description: partial 12S ribosomal RNA
Source: RNAcentral